GUCUACAGCCAUAUCAACCUGAAUGUGCCCUGUCUCAUCUGAUCUCAGAAGCUAAGCAGAAAUGGGCCUGGUUAGGACUUGGGUGGGAGAACACCUGGGCAAUACCAGGUGCGGUAAGCU
Molecule: ribosomal RNA, 120 nt
Filed under: Echinops telfairi (small Madagascar hedgehog)
Lineage: Eukaryota; Metazoa; Chordata; Mammalia; Afrosoricida; Tenrecidae
Source: RNAcentral